Molecule: long non-coding RNA, 2244 nt
Organism: Gasterosteus aculeatus aculeatus (three-spined stickleback)
Lineage: Eukaryota; Metazoa; Chordata; Actinopteri; Perciformes; Gasterosteidae
Source: Ensembl
GGGGUGAGAUCUGUCUCCAGCACACGCUCUCAUCCUCUCCAGGUGGAAAAGAAGGCAACGUGUCACAGUGUCUGCUGAUGCUGUUCUUCCUCAGUUUGGCCAGUGCUUGGAGAGCAAAAAACACCAGUGCCACUGUUUGCUCACCUCCGCUCUCUUCCUCGACUGGCGAGGUGUCUGCGAGGUUCGGGCCAGCACCCUGCAGAGAGGAGUCCACCUCAUCCAAACGAGGCCUGACAGGCGACUGCGUCCACGACGCCGCGUGCACACUGGGACCGGCCGCCAGGGGCAUUCGGCUAAGACGUCGGCCAACGGUAUUUGCUGACUGCUUUUUCUCCUAAUUGGGAAGUUAUUUAAAGGAACCUUCCUGGUGGUGUCAUUUUUAAUUACUCUGUAAGCCUUGCUACUGAGAUCCAAGAGAGAGGGACAGAUUGCCUGUGCUCGGAUAGUUGAAGAACGAGGAGACCGGCUCCAAAGGAAGUUUAAUUAACUGUUUUCCUAAAUUGCAGGCUCAGCAUCCUCCUACAGCAUCGAGAGCUGCUCCAACGAACGCUGCAUGAACACGAGAUGUUUCGGAGGGCUUUCUAACUUGGUAAUGUGGAAACAAAUGCUCCGCUUCCUCCUGUACGCGACCGUCUUUUUUUUUUUUUUUUUUUAAGAUGUUCCACAGGACCGUUUCUUUCCCACAGAAGCCGCCGCUCUGGGUUCCUGCGCUCCUCUCCCUCGCUCCCUCCGCCGAUUGAUAUUCGCGCCGAGCAGGCAGCCUGAGCCCCGGAGCUCAAAGGGUUCCGUAUCUGUGGUCCACGGCGCUGAAGAGGGUGGAACGCAGUGAAAUAAUAGAAAUCUUAAGAGGUGAGAAUCAAGAGUGGCUCCAGAACAAGUCAAGAGUGGCUAAGUGUCAACCGCCCUUGUGCUGCCUUGAAGUCCAUGUCGACGUGGCUGCCGCGAUGGGUGUCGCCCUGGUGUUUCUUCUCAGGUAUGUUAAAACGUAUGAAUGUAUCCUGUGGUUAAAACCAAACCAUCAUGGCUGCUCAGUGCUGUUUUGUCUUUCUGCAGCGCUGUUGUGCUUCCCUCUGUGUCAGCUGGAGGUGUUUAUUGUGCUAAAACAGCCAGAGCCCGUGCAGCUGCCCUGGGUUUGUAUUACCCCGGCGUCUACGCACCAGCUCCGCCUGGGACGCGUCCCAGCAGCAGGCUGCUUGGACCUCAACCCUACCAGGACGGUCGUCCUUUGUGGAAAGAAACUGGACCCGACGCGGCUUCUCACGCAAACCGGCAACCCGACGUAAGAUUCCCAGAUGGCCGACCGCGUGAACCAACGCACCCCUGGAGUUGGCGCGGCGCUUCCCGUCCGGCUCAGCGUGACCACGCCGCCGGCCGAGCGCUCCCCAGAGGGCGCUCCGUCAUCUACCGCCAGCCCUAUUCUGAGGAGGUCAAGCGCGUUGUCCCUCCGACGGCGGCUGGAGCCCCGGGCCGGCCUGACCUUGUGGAUUGGCGUCCCCAAGGUCGCAGCCGGCCGCCCUCGCCUGUCUACGAUGGGCGCGACCACGCGGUUGACGAGUCUGUCCCAAAUGGACGUGACGUGUCUGUGAGGGGGCUCCCGCUGCCCCGAAGCGGGGGUCGUGGCGCUUACCCAAGCUCUAUUCCUGGACGCGGCCUGGCGAGAGAUGCCCCUGUCCUCCGCUCAUCCGGCUCCGCCGCCAGGGCGCCGUCCGGCCCAGAUCCCGGACCAGCCGGGAUUGGCCUGUCUGGCAGUCUUGCGCGUCCCCUGCGCAGACGCCUCCACGUCGAACAGCCUUUUGCAAGGUGACCCUGUUCAAGGACGUCGGGCGGAACGCAGCAUCGGGUCCAGUUGGAAUGAGUCGGGGAGCGUGACGCUUUGCCGUCGUCUUCCUGUGAGGAUCUGUUGAAGAUGGCAGGCGAGCAUUUUUUGACUGAUGAGAAAUGUGUUUGUCAGGUGUUCUCUAACUGUUUUUUUGUUUAUUGAACAAUGCUCAUCGUGUGUGUGUGUGUCUAUAUGCUUGUGCAUUGUCCCUUACUUGAAUGUAACACUAAAACUAGAUGCUUUCUUGAAUACACGUUGUAUUUUGCCUCUUUCUGCUCCCCCAUCAGAGAUGUGUUACCACAGUGCCAUCUGUUGGUUCUGAGGUGAAGUUCUUCCUUCGGCUCACAUUGUUUGAGCACAGAAGCUCGACAAACGCCCUCAUCUCUUUACGCUCUUCAUUUUGCCCAAUGUCCAAAUAAAGUCUU